GCAAAGCCGCGAGGCAGAGCAAACCCCUAAAAAGACCAUCCCAGUUCGGAUUGCAGGCUGCAACCCGCCUGUAUGAAGUUGGAAUCGCUAGUAAUCGCGGAUCAGCAUGCCGCGGUGAAUACGUUCCCGGGCCUUGUACACACCGCCCGUCACACCAUGAGAGUCGGGAACACCCGAACUCCGUAGCCUAACCGCAAGGAGGGCGCGGCCGAAGGUGGGUUCGAUAAUUGGGGUGAAGUCGUAACAAGGUAUC
RNAcentral lists this ribosomal RNA (253 nucleotides) under uncultured bacterium. RNAcentral's name for it is "partial 16S ribosomal RNA". It matches the Rfam family "Bacterial small subunit ribosomal RNA", at positions 1249 to 1500 of the family's 1533-position model. The record is from RNAcentral.